UAUGUAUUAGCUACAACUGACAGGCACCUAAACCUUCAGGUUGUCAAAAGACCUCCUGGAUUUGGUGUUUUCCAACCAUUGUCCUAUGCCUGUGACCCUGUGACCUCCUGAGAUGUCUGUGAUGGGUGAAAAGCAAAACACCCAUCUAGUAAGAGACUAGAUGUCCCCAAGAAUGUGGGCAGGAUGUGGAAACUGCAUCCUGGAAGGUAAAGCAGGAUCAGAUCCCUUGCCAGUUAAGACAGCAAGAGUCACAGAGUUUCAAUGAGACCGAUGACAGAAUCAACUGGCAAAGGCCAGAAACCAGGGUGGGAGAGUGUUCAGCCUAUGAGUAAUCAUGUGGACAGCAGUCUGUUGAGAUGGGUGAUUUCUUUUUAAUUGUCCCAUCCUGGUUCCUUUAUUGAGCCUCGGUUUCCUCAUCAGUACAUUGAAGGGAGUAAUUCCUACCUCGUAGGGUGGCGGUGAGUGUCUGAGGAAGAAAGGUGAGUGGAAGCAUGUUAUAAGUGGUAAAGCUGUAUGUAAAUGUCAUGUGUGAUGAAUAGUGAGAACUUCCUCGGGGGGCAGUUAAGGGAGAAGGGAGGUAGUAGACUUUGAGAAUCUGACCAUCAGGGAGUGAUUCUAGUAACCUAGGGAAGAAGAAUGGACUGUAAUUCUGGGUGGGUGGACAGGAAUGGAGCAGGGUUGCUAGGAAACCAGCCUCAGUCCUGCUGGAAUGAAGGAUGUGAUGAAGAAUGCUAAACGUACAUGAUCAAUUCAGGCUCUUCUGAGCUUCCAGAGACUGAGGGUUACCCCUGCCCUGCCACUGCCAUUGUGUGGCUUUGGCCAGCUAUUUCCUCAGGGAUCUGGAAACACAGAGGCCCUAGGAAUGGCUCCCUUACAGACUGUUCUCCAAGGGCUCAGAGAUGGUGAGUGCCAGUCUCCAGAACAACCCAGCUGAGGUCUCUGUACACUCCACAGGUUGAGGAAGGAGAGCGAGCAUACCUGGGAGCUAAGCCAAACUAUAUUUGGAUGCUGGUUCUGUUGCUUCUUCAUUUUGUGGCCUUGGACAACUCCAUCUCAGCUUCCUCAUCUAUAAAAUGAGACAAAUCAGGUGUGUCUUUUGUUUCAUUGAUGUAAGGAUCAUAUAAGGCCCAGAGCUUAGCUUGGUGGCACAAAAGAGUUAUGCUUACCCUAAAGAAAGAAAAGCGAUUGAAUAUAUUACUGCAUGGGGAACUAGGAAAAACAUGGCU
This 1226-nucleotide long non-coding RNA is filed under the name Macaca mulatta (Rhesus monkey). RNAcentral's name for it is "lncRNA (ENSMMUG00000065002.1)". Lineage: Eukaryota; Metazoa; Chordata; Mammalia; Primates; Cercopithecidae. The record is from RNAcentral.